AGAAAACGAUAUCAGUUUUUUUAUCUUCUUGCAAAGGGAAAAAGGCGAAAAAGGCCGGGGAUAGAGACUUUUAAUAAUAGAGUUAGGUCAGGGGGAUGAACCUGGUCGAAAUGACACAACCUGCACAUGUUCCACUUCACCUACGCUAUUUAAAUUGAAGUUUUAUGCAUGCUUUAUCAGGGAAUCUCUCAUGUGGUCCUCUCCGGUGCCCUAAAAAUGAGUACCUACUCAGAUACAGUAAUUCCUCGAAGUUAGUUAUCGUGUAUGCAUUUUGCCUCCCAUUUACUGUCCGUUAUUAUUCCAAUCCCCACGACAUCACAUCAUGUUACAAACAAGGUCCAUAGACCCGGAAAAGUUUUAGAGAAAUGAGAAAUAAAGGAGUACAGAGAAUUCGACUGAUGAAAUUCUAACCAAGGACCUCUUGGAAUCAGUUCGAGGCGGAUGACAUUUAAUUCCACAAGUACCAAACCCUUCUUUUCUAGCUGUUGACAUUAAUUCCACAUGUACCAGGUAGAUAAAUAUAGCAGCCUGUAGCUUAUCACCAGGAGGCUUUUAAUUAAUUGUCAUAUAUAUGAAGUUCUAGAGAGAAAUAUGUAUAUAUAUAACAUACAUAAUUAAAUCCCUGGUCGUCAAGUUAAGUAGACUC
Punica granatum (pomegranate) is the source of this 646-nucleotide non-coding RNA. The record is from RefSeq and is a predicted model, not a curated record. NCBI's taxonomy places the organism in Eukaryota, Viridiplantae, Streptophyta, Magnoliopsida, Myrtales, Lythraceae.